RNAcentral lists this transfer RNA (84 nucleotides) under Gaiellaceae bacterium. RNAcentral's name for it is "tRNA-Leu". It matches the Rfam family "tRNA". From Rfam's summary of the family: Transfer RNA (tRNA) molecules are approximately 80 nucleotides in length. Their secondary structure includes four short double-helical elements and three loops (D, anti-codon, and T loops). Further hydrogen bonds mediate the characteristic L-shaped molecular structure. tRNAs have two regions of fundamental functional importance: the anti-codon, which is responsible for specific mRNA codon recognition, and the 3' end, to which the tRNAs corresponding amino acid is attached (by aminoacyl-tRNA synthetases). tRNAs cope with the degeneracy of the genetic code in two manners: having more than one tRNA (with a specific anti-codon) for a particular amino acid; and 'wobble' base-pairing, i.e. permitting non-standard base-pairing at the 3rd anti-codon position. The record is from RNAcentral. RNAcentral also lists the same sequence under 2 other names. Lineage: Bacteria; Bacillati; Actinomycetota; Thermoleophilia; Gaiellales; Gaiellaceae.
GCCGGGGUGGCGGAACUGGCAGACGCGGCCGACUUAAAAUCGGCCGGCCUCGCGGCCGUGCGGGUUCGACUCCCGCCCCCGGCA